This 145-nucleotide unclassified non-coding RNA is filed under the name soil metagenome. RNAcentral's name for it is "partial internal transcribed spacer 1". The record is from RNAcentral.
UAAUAAGUGUUUUAUGGCACUUUUUAAAUCCAUAUCCACCUUGUGUGCAAUGUCAGUCGAUCUUCUUCAUGGAGAUCGACCAAACAUCAACCUUUAUCUUAUAACUCUUUGUCUGAAAAAUAUUAUGAAUAAACAAUUCAAAAUA